UACGUAGGGUGCAAGCGUUGUCCGGAAUUAUUGGGCGUAAAGAGCUCGUAGGCGGUUUGUUGCGUCGGCUGUGAAAACCUGAGGCUCAACCUCAGGCCUGCAGUCGAUACGAGCAGACUAGAGUGUUGCAGGGGAGACUGGAAUUCCUGGUGUAGCGGUGAAAUGCGCAGAUAUCAGGAGGAACACCGGUGGCGAAGGCGGGUCUCUGGGCGAACAUCUGACGCUGAGGAGCGAAAGC
This 238-nucleotide ribosomal RNA is filed under the name uncultured bacterium. Its description in RNAcentral is "partial 16S ribosomal RNA". It matches the Rfam family "Bacterial small subunit ribosomal RNA", at positions 524 to 760 of the family's 1533-position model. The record is from RNAcentral.